GAUGAACGCUGGCGGCGUGCCUAAUACAUGCCAGUCGAGCGAACGGACGAGAAGCUUGCGUCUCUGAUGUUAGCGGCGGACGGGUGAGUAACACGUGGAUAACCUACCUAUAAGACGGGGAUAACUUCGGGAAACCGGAGCUAAUACCGGAGAAUAUUUUGAACCGCAGUGUGCAAAAGUGAAAGACGGUCUUGCGGUCACUUAUAGAUGGAUCCGCGCUGCAUUAGCUAGUUGGUAAGGUAACGGCUUACCAAGGCAACGAUGCAUAGCCGACCUGAGAGGGUGAUCGGCCACCCUGGAACUGAGACACGGUCCAGACUCCUACGGGAGGCAGCAGUAGGGAAUCUUCCGCAAUGGGCGAAAGCAUGACGGAGCAACGCCGCGUGAGUGAUGACGGUCUUCGGAUCGUAAAACUCUGUUAUUAGGGAAGAACAUAUGUGUAAGUAACUGUGCACAUCUUGACGGUACCUAAUAAGAAAGCCACGGCUAACUACGUG
RNAcentral lists this ribosomal RNA (497 nucleotides) under uncultured bacterium. Its description in RNAcentral is "partial 16S ribosomal RNA". It matches the Rfam family "Bacterial small subunit ribosomal RNA", at positions 28 to 507 of the family's 1533-position model. The record is from RNAcentral.